This 449-nucleotide long non-coding RNA is filed under the name Mytilus galloprovincialis (Mediterranean mussel). Lineage: Eukaryota; Metazoa; Mollusca; Bivalvia; Mytilida; Mytilidae. The record is from RNAcentral.
GAUUUUAUUUUCUAAAAUUUUCAAAUGAAUAUAAACUUGAAAACUGUAAGUGAUAGAUACAUGCAGUCUUCAGAAUUGAUUAUAGGACAAUUAAACAAAUCACAUGAAAUAUAGGGGGAGUCCCUGGGAGUUCAUCCCCACCCCCUUCACUUUGAGAAUAUGCUUAUAUCUUGUAAAUGGUCCAGAUCCCCACCCCUAAACCAUAUAUAUUCUUAAAUAAGACGAUAAAACAAAUCAAAUGAAAUGAAAGGGAGGUCCCCGGGGGUCAUCCCCACCCCGUUCAAUUUGAGAAUGUACUAUUAUCUUGUAAACGGUCCAGACCCCCACCCCUAAACCAUAUAUAUUCUUGUAGGGGACAAUAAAACAAAUCAAAUGAAAUUAAAGGGCAGUCCCUAGGGGGUCACCCCUACCCCUCCUGUUUCAAAACUUGUAAACGGUCAACAUCCCCA